This 460-nucleotide ribosomal RNA is filed under the name uncultured bacterium. RNAcentral describes it as "partial 16S ribosomal RNA". It matches the Rfam family "Bacterial small subunit ribosomal RNA", at positions 338 to 795 of the family's 1533-position model. The record is from RNAcentral.
CCUACGGGAGGCAGCAGUGAGGAAUAUUGGUCAAUGGACGAGAGUCUGAACCAGCCAAGUAGCGUGAAGGAUGACUGCCCUAUGGGUUGUAAACUUCUUUUAUAUGGGAAUAAAAUGUUCCACGUGUGGGAUUUUGUAUGUACCAUAUGAAUAAGGAUCGGCUAACUCCGUGCCAGCAGCCGCGGUAAUACGGAGGAUCCGAGCGUUAUCCGGAUUGAUUGGGUUUAAAGGGAGCGUAGGUGGAUUGUUAAGUCAGUUGUGAAAGUUUGCGGCUCAACCGUAAAAUUGCAGUUGACACUGGCAGUCUUGAGUACAGUAGAGGUGGGCGGAAUUCGUGGUGUAGCGGUGAAAUGCUUAGAUAUCACGAAGAACUCCGAUUGCGAAGGCAGCUCACUGGACUGCAACUGACACUGAGGCUCGAAAGUGUGGGUAUCAAACAGGAUUAGAUACCCCAGUAGUC